RNAcentral lists this ribosomal RNA (396 nucleotides) under uncultured bacterium. Its description in RNAcentral is "bacterial SSU rRNA". It matches the Rfam family "Bacterial small subunit ribosomal RNA", at positions 29 to 416 of the family's 1533-position model. The record is from RNAcentral.
AACGAACGCUGGCGGCGCGCCUAAUACAUGCAAGUCGAGCGAGAAGACGUAGCAAUACGUUUGUAAGGCGGCGAACGGGCGAGGAAUACAUGGGUAACCUACCCUCGAGUGGGGAAUAACUAGCCGAAAGGUUAGCUAAUACCGCGUACGCUCCUUGGACUUCGGUUCAGGGAGGAAAGCGAUACCGUGGGUAUCGCGCUCUUGGAUGGGCUCAUGUCCUAUCAGCUUGUUGGUGAGGAACGGCUCACCAAGGCUUCGACGGGUAGCUGGUCUGAGAGGACGAUCAGCCACACUGGCACUGCGACACGGGCCAGACUCCUACGGGAGGCAGCAGUAAGGAAUAUUGCGCAAUGGGCGAAAGCCUGACGCAGCGACGCCGCGUGGGGGAUGAAGGUC